AUGAGUAGGGCGGGACACGUGGUAUCCUGUCUGAAUAUGGGGGGACCAUCCUCCAAGGCUAAAUACUCCUGACUGACCGAUAGUGAACCAGUACCGUGAGGGAAAGGCGAAAAGAACCCCGGCGAGGGGAGUGAAAAAGAACCUGAAACCGUGUACGUACAAGCAGUGGGAGCCCCACCACCAAAGCAUUCUCUGGUGUUGAAGGCCCUGCAAAGCAGCAUCGCGGUGGCGGAGUGUCGUUUGCGACGCCCAACACACAAAACAAGCGGUGAGUGCUUUGGGGUGGGGUGACUGCGUACCUUUUGUAUAAUGGGUCAGCGACUUAUAUUCUGUAGCAAGGUUAACCGAAUAGGGGAGCCGGAGGGAAACCGAGUCUUAACCGGGCGUUAAGUUGCAGGGUAUAGACCCGAAACCCGGUGAUCUAGCCAUGGGCAGGUUGAAGGUUGGGUAACACUAACUGGAGGACCGAACCGACUAAUGUUGAAAAAUUAGCGGAUGACCUGUGGCUGGGGGUGAAAGGCCAAUCAAACCGGGAGAUAGCUGGUUCUCCCCGAAAGCUAUUUAGGUAGCGCCUCGUGAACUCAUCUCCGGGGGUAGAGCACUGUUUCGGCUAGGGGGCCAUCCCGGCUUACCAACCCGAUGCAAACUGCGAAUACCGGAGAAUGUUAUCACGGGAGACACACGGCGGGUGCUAACGUCCGUCGUGAAGAGGGAAACAACCCAGACCGCCAGCUAAGGUCCCAAAGUCAUGGUUAAGUGGGAAACGAUGUGGGAAGGCCCAGACAGCCAGGAUGUUGGCUUAGAAGCAGCCAUCAUUUAAAGAAAGCGUA
RNAcentral lists this ribosomal RNA (830 nucleotides) under Salmonella enterica subsp. enterica serovar Oranienburg. RNAcentral describes it as "bacterial LSU rRNA". It matches the Rfam family "Bacterial large subunit ribosomal RNA", at positions 408 to 1136 of the family's 2925-position model. The record is from RNAcentral. Lineage: Bacteria; Pseudomonadati; Pseudomonadota; Gammaproteobacteria; Enterobacterales; Enterobacteriaceae.